CAGAGGGUGCAAACGUUGCUCGGAAUCACUGGGCGUAAAGGGCGCGUAGGCGGGGAUGUAAGUCGGGCGUGAAAUCCCUAGGCUCAACCUAGGAACUGCACUCGAAACUGCGUUUCUUGAGUAUCGGAGAGGAAAGCGGAAUUCCUGGUGUAGAGGUGAAAUUCGUAGAUAUCAGGAGGAACACCAGUGGCGAAGGCGGCUUUCUGGACGGUAACUGACGCUGAGGCGCGAAAGCGUGGGGAGCAAACAGGAUU
This 254-nucleotide ribosomal RNA is filed under the name uncultured bacterium. RNAcentral describes it as "partial 16S ribosomal RNA". It matches the Rfam family "Bacterial small subunit ribosomal RNA", at positions 526 to 779 of the family's 1533-position model. The record is from RNAcentral.